RNAcentral lists this unclassified non-coding RNA (173 nucleotides) under Colletotrichum sp. FM-2012-2. Its description in RNAcentral is "partial sequence contains ITS1". The record is from RNAcentral. Lineage: Eukaryota; Fungi; Ascomycota; Sordariomycetes; Glomerellales; Glomerellaceae.
CGAGUUACCGCUCCUUAUAACCCUUUGUGAACAUUCCCCAAACGUUGCCUCGGCGGGCAGCCGGAGCCCAGCUCCGGCGCCCGGAGCCGCCGUCUCGGUGCGCCCCACCCGCCGGAGGACCACUAAACUCUAUUUAAACGACGUCUCUUCUGAGUGGCACAAGCAAAUAAUCA